AUGGAGGUGGCCGUCAGCGCAGCAUGGUGGGUGGUGACCAAGGCGCUGGCACCGGUCACAGAUGGCCUGCUGGAGGCGUGGGCGGCCAGCGCCGGGCUUGGCCCCAACAUCGACGCCCUCAAGAUGCAGCUGCUCUACGCCCAGGGCAGGGACAUCACCAACCCUGCGCUCAAGGGGCUGCUGCACAAGCUGCGGCAGCUGGCCUAUGUCGCCGACGACGCGCUCGACGAGCUGGACUACUUCCGCAUCCAGGACGCGCUCGAAGGCACCUACCAUGCAGCAGAAAGCAUGGAUGACCGGUGCUGCCUCCAGGGCCUCGCCCUCAACGCUCGCCACACGGCCAGAGCUGUUGCCGGGAAGAUCAAGUCCAUGUGCUCCUGCUCGCGUGCUGCUAGCCCGACUGAUGACCAAGAAGAUACUGGUGUCAGACGUGGAUGCUCAUGUGUUGGCGGAUGCAGCAUGCCCAAGGUUGCCUCUGGUGCCAUUCAAGCUGCUGUUGGUAAACACUUCACAUGCUGCUACUCUUCUCCUCAUACCAGUGAGUUGUCUGAAUCGUCCAACAUGCCAGCUGCAAGCAGAUGGCGACUCCUGUGCGGCACCUGCCUGCCUAAGGGACCUGCACAGAGAGUUUGCACCACAGAGGAAACACCAAAACUGAAGUUUGAUAGGGUGGAAAUGUCCAAGAGAAUGGUAGACAUCGUAGAUCAGCUCAAGCAUGUAUGUGCUAUGGUCUCCACCAUUCUCAAUCUGGAGCUACUAAGCUUAAGCCGUAUCCCAACCCAAGUUGGUCUUGCUAUGGAUCGGCCGAAAACCACCACGCAAAUUAUAGAGCCUCAGCUAUAUGGAAGGGAUACACAGAAAAAGGAAAUCAUAGACGGCAUCACUCAGGGUGAAUAUUCUUCCAAACAACUUACGGUCCUUCCAAUUGUUGGGCCGGGGGGUGUUGGGAAAACAACCUUUACACAACACAUAUUUGAAGAAGUGAAGAGCUGUUUCCAGGUUACCAUUUGGAUAUGUGUCUCUCUCAACUUCUCUGUAGAUAAGUUGGCACAAGAGAUUUUGGAGCAGAUCCCAAAGAUAACAGUAGUGAAAGCAAGAACAGUAGCAAAGAAGAGCAAAUUGAACGAAGGUUAA
Molecule: ribosomal RNA, 1134 nt
Filed under: Triticum aestivum (bread wheat)
Lineage: Eukaryota; Viridiplantae; Streptophyta; Magnoliopsida; Poales; Poaceae
Description: partial small subunit ribosomal RNA
Source: RNAcentral